Molecule: ribosomal RNA, 279 nt
Filed under: uncultured bacterium
Lineage: Bacteria
Description: partial 16S ribosomal RNA
Rfam family: Bacterial small subunit ribosomal RNA
Source: RNAcentral
UGCCAGCAGCCGCGGUAAUACGGAGAGGGCAAGCGUUGUUCGGAAUCACUGGGCAUAAAGCGCACGCAGGCGGACUGAUUAGUCGGUUGUGAAAUCCCGGGGCUCAACCCCGGAAUAGCUUCCGAAACUGUCAGUCUGGAGGAUGAGAGGGGAGAGUGGAACUUCUGGUGGAGCGGUGAAAUGCGUAGAUAUCAGAAGGAACACCGGUGGCGAAAGCGACUCUCUGGCUCAUUUCUGACGCUCAGGUGCGCAAGCUAGGGUCGCAAACAGGAUUAGAUA